AUACGUAGGGGGCAAGCGUUGUCCGGAAUUAAUGGGCGUAAAGCGCGCGCAGGCGGUUCUUUAAGUCUGGUGUUUAAACCCGAGGCUCAACUUCGGGACGCACUGGAAACUGGGGAACUUGAGUGCAGAAGAGGAGAGUGGAAUUCCACGUGUAGCGGUGAAAUGCGUAGAUAUGUGGAGGAACACCAGUGGCGAAGGCGACUCUCUGGGCUGUAACUGACGCUGAGGCGCGAAAGCGUGGGGAGCGAACAGGAUUAGAUACCCUGGUAGUCCACGCCGUAAACGAUGAAUGCUAGGUGUUAGGGGUUUCGAUACCCUUGGUGCCGAAGUUAACACAUUAAGCAUUCCGCCUGGGGAGUACGGUCGCAAGACUGAA
RNAcentral lists this ribosomal RNA (376 nucleotides) under uncultured bacterium. Its description in RNAcentral is "bacterial SSU rRNA". It matches the Rfam family "Bacterial small subunit ribosomal RNA", at positions 523 to 898 of the family's 1533-position model. The record is from RNAcentral.